This 422-nucleotide ribosomal RNA is filed under the name uncultured bacterium. Its description in RNAcentral is "bacterial SSU rRNA". It matches the Rfam family "Bacterial small subunit ribosomal RNA", at positions 355 to 774 of the family's 1533-position model. The record is from RNAcentral.
UAAGGAAUAUUGGACAAUGGUCGCAAGACUGAUCCAGCCAUGCCGCGUGCAGGAAGACGGCCCUAUGGGUUGUAAACUGCUUUUGUACCAGAGAAAACCUAUCUACGUGUAGAUAGCUGAUAGUAUGGUAAGAAUAAGCCUCGGCUAACUUCGUGCCAGCAGCCGCGGUAAGACGAAGGAUGCAAGCGUUAUCCGGAUUCAUUGGGUUUAAAGGGUGCGUAGGCGGGCUUGUAAGUCAGUGGUGAAAUCUCUCAGCUUAACUGAGAAACUGCCAUUGAUACUGCAGGCCUAGAGUAUAGAUGACGUUGGCGGAAUAUGACAUGUAGUGGUGAAAUACUUAGAUAUGUCAUAGAACACCGAUUGCGAAGGCAGCUAACGAAACUAUAACUGACGCUGAGGCACGAAAGUGCGGGGAUCAAACA